CCUGCCACUGGCCUGCCGCGCUGAUGGUACCUGGAGCAGGGUAGAAGCAGUCCAAUGGUCCAUUGGGGUUCUGUGCAUCCUCGGAGCACCUAUAGCUGGGGCAUGUGUCGGAUGAGAACAUUGUGUACGCGGAAGUAGCAUCCGGCAUCGCUCCUCUCCUAGAAGGGCAAGAAAGGGCACUAACCAGUACAUCGUCAUGCUCUGCCAGGUUACUGUGCAGUGAUUUAAUUAUCAAAUUGGUGAAAUACCAAGCCUCUGUUGACUUGGAGUAGGCUUCAUGAACUUGUAUCUUAAUCCUUGAUAUCAGAAUGGCAGCUGUAGGAGACGAAGAGGUUGAGGGAUAGGAUCUGUGUGAUCAUGGGCCAGUGUGGAAAAUGUGCAGCGGCGCUCUCUUGCUGGCGACGAAGACCAGCUCAGCCGCCACACGGUUGGGCCUCCUUGUUGGGCCUUUCUGCCACUUGGACCAAGAGGGCAACCCUGCUUCUCCCUAACUGCGGGACAAUGGAAGGUUGAUGCUGUUGUACGUGUUCAUUGACGUGCUUAUGCCAUUUGAAGGUUUUCAGGGAAAUGGCAAGAAUGUCACCAAUCGGGAGAAGCACAUAGACUCAAAUUUUGCAAAGGU
This is a long non-coding RNA of Lolium rigidum, 622 nucleotides long. RefSeq lists it as uncharacterized. The transcript is spliced from 4 exons. The record is from RefSeq and is a predicted model, not a curated record. NCBI's taxonomy places the organism in Eukaryota, Viridiplantae, Streptophyta, Magnoliopsida, Poales, Poaceae.